Molecule: ribosomal RNA, 824 nt
Filed under: uncultured bacterium
Lineage: Bacteria
Description: bacterial SSU rRNA
Rfam family: Bacterial small subunit ribosomal RNA
Source: RNAcentral
AGAGUUUGAUCCUGGCUCAGAACGAACGCUGGCGGCGUGCCUAACACAUGCAAGUCGAGCGCGAAAGUCCCUUCGGGGGCGAGUAGAGCGGCGGACGGGUGAGUAAUACAUAGGUAAUCUACCUUCGAGCUUGGGAUAACCCCGCGAAAGUGGGGCUAAUACCGGAUAAGACCACGCAACCAUGUUGCGGGGUAAAAGGUGGCUUAUUUUUUAAAUGAGCUAUCACUUGAGGAUGAGCCUAUGGCCUAUCAGCUUGUUGGCGGGGUAAAAGCCCACCAAGGCUAUGACGGGUAGCUGGUCUGAGAGGACGAUCAGCCACACUGGGACUGAGACACGGCCCAGACUCCUACGGGAGGCAGCAGUGGGGAAUAUUGGGCAAUGGGCGAAAGCCUGACCCAGCGACGCCGCGUGGGCGAUGAAGGCCUUCGGGUUGUAAAGCCCUGUCAUGCGGAAAGAACGACCCUGUGACGCAUACUCACAGGGAGUGACGGUACCGCAGGAGGAAGCACCGGCUAACUCCGUGCCAGCAGCCGCGGUAAUACGGAGGGUGCAAGCGUUGUUCGGAAUUAUUGGGCGUAAAGGGCGCGUAGGCGGUAAUGUAAGUCAGAUGUGAAAUACUCCGGCUCAACCAGAGAACAGCAUCUGAAACUGCAUAACUAGAGUACAGAAGAGGGAAACGGAAUUCCCGGUGUAGAGGUGAAAUCUGUAGAUAUCGGGAGGAACACCAGUGGCGAAAGCGGCUCUCUGGUCCGGCUCUGACGCUGAACUGCGAAAGCUCGGGGAGCAAACAGGAUUAGAUACCCUGGUAGUCCGAGCCGUAAACG